UGGGGAAUAUUGGACAAUGGGCGAAAGCCUGAUCCAGCCAUGCCGCGUGUGUGAAGAAGGUCUUCGGAUUGUAAAGCACUUUAAGUUGGGAGGAAGGGCAGUAAGCGAAUACCUUGCUGUUUUGACGUUACCGACAGAAUAAGCACCGGCUAACUCUGUGCCAGCAGCCGCGGUAAUACAGAGGGUGCAAGCGUUAAUCGGAAUUACUGGGCGUAAAGCGCGCGUAGGUGGUUCGUUAAGUUGAAUGUGAAAGCCCCGGGCUCAACCUGGGAACUGCAUCCAAAUCUGGCGAGCUAGAUUAGGGCAGAGGGCGGUGGAAUUUCCUGUGUAGCGGUGAAAUGCGUGGAUAUAGGAAGGAACACCAGAGGCGAGGGCGACCACCUGGGCUCAUACUGAAUCUGAGGUGCGAAAGCGUGGGGAGCAAACAGG
This 429-nucleotide ribosomal RNA is filed under the name Pseudomonadota bacterium. RNAcentral's name for it is "Proteobacteria bacterium partial 16S ribosomal RNA". It matches the Rfam family "Bacterial small subunit ribosomal RNA", at positions 355 to 776 of the family's 1533-position model. Lineage: Bacteria; Pseudomonadati; Pseudomonadota. The record is from RNAcentral.